Molecule: long non-coding RNA, 1428 nt
Organism: Frieseomelitta varia
Lineage: Eukaryota; Metazoa; Arthropoda; Insecta; Hymenoptera; Apidae
Exons: 2
Source: RefSeq, a predicted model, not a curated record
UCGAUCAGAUGCAAUUAACUAAUAAUAAAUCGAAACGAACGGAAUAAGGUUGAUAUAAAGCCAUGUGAUAAAAUGACACGAUGCCAAUCGUGAAUUUGAUCGAGAGCUCUUUACACGAUGAAUUUAACAAAUGACGAAUCGCGUUCCAGAAUUAUCGACGCGUUUUUUCCGUUAGAACGUUCCUAAGCUAAAUAUUGCGCCAGAGUACGAAAAUUUUUGCAACCUCCGGAAUGAUCAAUUUCGAUCGAAUCCGAUGGAAAUUCAUGCAAGUGCGCCUUAGAAACAGCUUUCGAGAAGUCGUGCGCGUGUACUUCCGACGUGAAAACAUGCACUCCUCGAAAAGCCGGGUUGAGGUGCGUAUUACGCGAUAUGUAAGCGACGUUGCCUCGAUCGCGCGGACGCGGGAUCAUGCGUGUGACCGGAGACGCGGCGUCGUCGCGAGGGAAUUUCUCGCCGACACCGUGUCUCCGAAAAUAAUACCGCACAGCUUCUAAAUUGGGACAAUCAAUUACGAUCCGUGUGCAUCGUGCACGGGAGCAGCGAGUCUCGGGUGAAUGACGUAACAGCCGCGAGCCGGCGAACAACGUUCCACGGAGUUCCUCCUCGGAGCCAUUACACGAAGGGAAAUGCGCGUUACGUGCGACGAACUGGCUCGGUGUUUGCACGUCGAAAACAACCGGCGUCGAUUCAACGGCGCGUGUUCCAACCUCUUGUUCGGCAAAAACACGAAUAUCGCGGGAUUCCGCGGAAUUGCAAAUGAGAAAAUAAAUGGAAAAACCCACCCGCCGGCGACGAGGUGUAUCGCGGUGUCGCGAUCCAACAUUCUUCCACUUCGGUCUUCUGUGUCACUCCGAGAUCAUCAACUUCGAAGAAAGGUACAAGAAGAGACACUGAAUAAACAGGUUCACAGGCGGAGAACGCGGGGAAACUGCGCACGAAGAAAUUCGUCCGCGACGUGUUAUUUGUUUUUUCAAGUAGUAGGUUCAGUUCCUUCUCUCGGCGAGCGAAUCGAGAAAGCGCCGACGAGGACCAACGUUCGACACCUCGACACAACACUGGCCCGCAUUGAUCGUAACAACGUACGGCACGCCGUUUGCCACGGACUACGUCGAAGCUAGAAAGAGAUCGUCGAAUGUUUCGCAAACGGUGCGACGUACGAAACGGCGGGAACUUUGUAAUUUGAAAUUCAAACGGCUAUUCAUGGAAACUGCCUUCUUUAGGAAACUGUCUGCUGAUUUCAACUCCGUUUCAUCAGAAGUUUGGAAAACAAACUGCAUUUAUAAAGACUCGCAACGAAGUGAUUGACAAGAUGAUUUUAAGGAGGGAAAAUAAAAAGAUUAAUGAAAUUUGGAUAAAAUGCGUACAUGUUUUUAUAUUAUAAAAAAUAAUAUAGGAUGAGAAAAGCAUUAAAUAAAUAUAUAAUACUGA